CCUACGGGGGGCAGCAGUGAGGCAUAUUGGUCAAUGGGCGCGAGCCUGAACCAGCCAAGUAGCGUGAAGGAUGACUGCCCUACGGGUUGUAAACUUCUUUUAUAAAGGAAUAAAGUGAGGCACGUGUGCCUUUUUGUAUUUACUUUAUGAAUAAGGAUCGGCUAACUCCGUGCCAGCCGCCGCGGUAAUACGGAGGAUCCGGGCGUUUUCCGGAUUUAUUGGGUUUAAAGGGAGCGUAAAUGGGUUGUUAAAGCAGUUGUGAAAGUUUGCGGCUCAACCGUAAAAUUGCAAUUGAUACUGGCAGCCUUGAGUACAGGUGAGGUAGGCGGAAUUCGUGGUGUAGCGGUGAAAUGCUUAG
Molecule: ribosomal RNA, 358 nt
Filed under: uncultured bacterium
Lineage: Bacteria
Description: partial 16S ribosomal RNA
Rfam family: Bacterial small subunit ribosomal RNA
Source: RNAcentral